Molecule: ribosomal RNA, 301 nt
Filed under: uncultured bacterium
Lineage: Bacteria
Description: partial 16S ribosomal RNA
Rfam family: Bacterial small subunit ribosomal RNA
Source: RNAcentral
CAGUCGCCACGGGAAUACGAAGGGGGCUAGCGUUGCUCAGAAUGACUGGGCGUAAAGGGCGCGUAGGCGGAUUGUUUAGUUAGGCGUGAAAUUCCUGGGCUUAACCUGGGGACUGCGCUUAAUACAGGCAGUCUAGAGUGAGGAAGAGGGUUGUGGAAUUCCCAGUGUAGAGGUGAAAUUCGUAGAUAUUGGGAAGAACACCGGUGGCGAAGGCGGCAACCUGGUCCUUGACUGACGCUGAAGCGCGAAAGCGUGGGGAGCAAACAGGAUUAGAGACCCGCGUAGUCCCUGUCUCUUAUAC